UACGAAGGGGGCUAGCGUUGUUCGGAAUUACUGGGCGUAAAGCGAGCGUAGGUCGCUGUGUGUGUCAGUGGUGAAAGCCCAAGGCUCAACCUUGGAAUUGCCAUUGAAACUGCACAGCUGGAAUCUCAGAGGGGAUAGCGGAAUUCCAAAUGUAGAGGUGAAAUUCGUAGAUAUUUGGAGGAACACCGGUGGCGAAGGCGGCUAUCUGGAUGAGUAUUGACACUGAGGCUCGAAAGUGUGGGGAUCAAACAGG
Molecule: ribosomal RNA, 253 nt
Filed under: uncultured bacterium
Lineage: Bacteria
Description: partial 16S ribosomal RNA
Rfam family: Bacterial small subunit ribosomal RNA
Source: RNAcentral